ACGAACGCUGGCGGCGUGCUUAACACCUGCAAGUCGAACGGAAAGGCCUCAGCUUGCUGGGGUACUCGAGUGGCGAACGGGUGAGUAACACGUGGGUGAUCUGCCUUGCACUCUGGGAUCAGCUUGGGAAACUGGGUCUAAUACCGGAUAUGAACUGCCUUUAGUGUGGUGGUUGGAAAGUUUUUUCGGUGCAAGAUGAGCUCGCGGCCUAUCAGCUUUUUGGUGGGGUAAUGGCCUACCAAGGCGUCGACGGGUAGCCGGCCUGAGAGGGUGUACGGCCAAAUUGGGACUGAGAUACGGCCCAGACUCCUACGGGAGGCAGCAGUGGGGAAUAUUGCACAAUGGGCGGAAGCCUGAUGCAGCGACGCCGCGUGGGGGAUGACGGCCUUCGGGUUGUAAACUCCUUUCGACAGGGACGAAGCUUUUUGUGACGGUACCUGUAUAAGAAGCACCGGCUAACUACGUG
RNAcentral lists this ribosomal RNA (466 nucleotides) under uncultured bacterium. RNAcentral's name for it is "partial 16S ribosomal RNA". It matches the Rfam family "Bacterial small subunit ribosomal RNA", at positions 29 to 507 of the family's 1533-position model. The record is from RNAcentral.